RNAcentral lists this ribosomal RNA (544 nucleotides) under Helix pomatia (Roman snail). Its description in RNAcentral is "partial large subunit ribosomal RNA". The record is from RNAcentral. Lineage: Eukaryota; Metazoa; Mollusca; Gastropoda; Stylommatophora; Helicidae.
CCGCCCAGAGGUAAACGGGUGGAUCCGCAAAGUCGGCCCGUGGAAUUCAGCGCGGCGCGCAGACCUGGGCUAUCGUGGUUCGGGAUCCCUGGGACCCCAUCGCGGUGUCGUUCGGGUCUCCGCUGCGUGCACUUUCCACGGGCAGAGUGCCACAACCGGUUCGGCGGCGGCUAAAAGUUUGGAGGGUUGUAGGUGGGGGCGCUUGCGUCCCUACCAGCCCUACUCUUGCGAGUCGUCGCCGGACCGAGGGAACGCCGCGCGCUUCGAGGCCACCUUCCCCUCCUGGUGAGUUCGACUAGGAGAGACUGGGCAACCGUGUCUCCUGACCGCUCAUCUGUGAUCGGCGUGAGGCUGGCCGGGCGUGCAUUGUCUGUCAAGGUUGGUGGCAAGUAUGUCGGCAUUCCACCCGACCCGUCUUGAAACACGGACCAAGGAGUCUAACAUGCGCGCGAGUCAUUGGGCGGUACGAAACCCAAAGGCGCAGUGAAAGCGAGGGUCGUCUUCGGGCGACCCAGGUGGGAUCCUCCCUCCCAAGAGCGAUCUG